Molecule: ribosomal RNA, 466 nt
Filed under: uncultured bacterium
Lineage: Bacteria
Description: partial 16S ribosomal RNA
Rfam family: Bacterial small subunit ribosomal RNA
Source: RNAcentral
GAUGAACGCUGGCGGCGUGCUUAACACAUGCAAGUCGAACGAUGACGCCCAGCUUGCUGGGUGGCUUGGUGGUGACCGGGUGAGUCACACGUGAGUAACCUGCCCUUCACUCUGGGAUAAGCCUUGGUAACUGGGUCUAAUACCGGACAGGAGCUUUCUCGGCUUGGGGUGUGCUGGCGUGAUUUGUCGGUUUUGGUUGGAUUCGCGCCUUAUUAGCUUAUUUUGGAGGUAUUGUCUCAGCAAAGCGACGACAGGUAGCCGGCCUGGGAGGGGGGCAGGCCAAACUAGGACUGAGACACGACACAGACUCGUACGGGAGGCAACGGAGGGGAAGAGUGCACUAUGGGCGGAAGGCUGGUGUAGCGACGCCGCGUGGGGGAUGACGGGCUGCGGGUAGUAAACCUCUUUCAGUAGAGAAGAAGCGAUAGUGACGGUACCUGCAGAAGAAGCACCGGCUAACUACGUG